ACGGAGGGCGCAAGCGUUGUUCGGAAUUACUGGGCGUAAAGCGCACGCAGGCGGUUUGUUAAGUCCUUUGUGAAAGCCCGGGGCUCAACCCCGGAAUUGCAGAGGAUACUGACAGACUGGAGACAGGUAGAGGCUAGCGGAAUUCCUGGUGUAGCGGUGGAAUGCGUAGAUAUCAGGAAGAACACCUGUGGCGAAGGCGGCUAGCUGGGCCUGUUCUGACGCUCAUGUGCGAAAGCGUGGGGAGCAAACAGG
RNAcentral lists this ribosomal RNA (252 nucleotides) under uncultured bacterium. Its description in RNAcentral is "partial 16S ribosomal RNA". It matches the Rfam family "Bacterial small subunit ribosomal RNA", at positions 525 to 776 of the family's 1533-position model. The record is from RNAcentral.